GACGAAGGAUGCAAGCGUUAUCCGGAUUCAUUGGGUUUAAAGGGUGCGUAGGCGGACUUGUAAGUCAGUGGUGAAAUCUCUUUGCUUAACAAAGAAACUGCCAUUGAUACUGCAGGUCUAGAGUAUAGAUGACGUUGGCGGAAUAUGACAUGUAGUGGUGAAAUACUUAGAUAUGUCAUAGAACACCAAUUGCGAAGGCAGCUCACUACACGAAUAUUGACACUGAGGCACGAAAGCGUGGGGAUCAAACAGG
This 253-nucleotide ribosomal RNA is filed under the name uncultured bacterium. Its description in RNAcentral is "partial 16S ribosomal RNA". It matches the Rfam family "Bacterial small subunit ribosomal RNA", at positions 524 to 776 of the family's 1533-position model. The record is from RNAcentral.